Helianthus annuus (common sunflower) is the source of this 5305-nucleotide long non-coding RNA. RefSeq lists it as uncharacterized. NCBI's taxonomy places the organism in Eukaryota, Viridiplantae, Streptophyta, Magnoliopsida, Asterales, Asteraceae. The transcript has 3 exons. The record is from RefSeq and is a predicted model, not a curated record.
AUUAUUUGAAUGUUUAAAUGUUUUAAAUGAUUAGUUCGUUAUAAAUGAAUAAUGAAAGUUUAAAAGUUAGAAAAAAAAGUACAAGAAUGAUAACUUAAACAACCUUGAGGGGUUAAACUUGUAAUUAUGUUACUAACUUAUUAAAAAAAAUAAAAACCCAGUAUAGUGGGUGUGUGUGGGUCGCGACCAAGAACAAGGGGAGAAAGGAAAACCCUUUUUCCUUCAUAAAAUUUCAAGAAUUCAGGGAAUUAAGGUGCUAUUGAUCCAGAAAAUCGAAUGCAUGAAGUAAAUUCCUUGCUAAUCUAAGUGUACUGAAGACAAGGAGUCAUGUCAAUAGAGGCACAAAUAUGGAAGCGCUACGGGUCGAAGGUAAACACGGAAGCUAUGUGUAAAUUCGGACGCACGAGGUAAGUAAACUCCCCGACUCCUUCCUUAGUAGUAAAAGAGGUUAUUUGUAUGAUAAAUGUUAGCAAUUAUGCAAGAUGCUUUAUUGACAUUUGUAACAAGUAAGGAGCACUAAGGAAGUGAUUUUUGAAUCACUUCCUACACCAUUUUAGGAAGGCUAUAUGCGAGUUACUUAAGUAUGGUAAUCUAAGUUUAUUUAGGAUUCGGUUAUUGGAGGUGAUGGUGUUCGCUAAGAAGACCGAACGGGUUAAAAUAAGAGUAUAUUAGUGUAGUUUUUAUGCAUUUUUGAGCGGCCAAAAUAGUGCAGAAUUUUCAUGUUAAUUGUUGUUAAGAUAUUGCAGUUUUUAUGCAUUUUUGAGCUGCCAAAAUAGUGCAGAAUUUUCAUGUUAAUUGUUGUUAAAAUAGUGCAGUUUUUAUGCAUUUUGAGCUGCCAAAAUAGUGCAGAAUUGUGCUGUAUAUUGUUGUUAAAAUAGUGCAGUUUUUAUGCGUUUUGAGCUGCCAAAAUAGUGCAGAAUUGUGCUGUAUAUUGUUGUUAAAAUAGUGCAGUUUUUAUGCGUUUUGAGCUGCCAAAAUAGUGCAGAAUUGUGCUGUUUAUUGUUGUUAAAAUAGUGCAGUUUUUAUGCGUUUUGAGCUGCCAAAAUAGUGCAGAAUUGUGCUGUUUAUUGUUGUUAAAAUAGUGCAGUUUUUAUGCGUUUUGAGCUGCCAAAAUAGUGCAGAAUUGUGCUAUUUAUUGUUGUUAAAAUAGUGCAGUUUUUAUGCAUUUUGAGCUGCCAAAAUAGUGCAGAAUUGUGCUGUUUAUUGUUGUUAAAAUAGUGCAGUUUUUAUGCAUUUUGAGAUGUCAAACUAGUGCAGAAUUGUGCUGUGUAUUGCUAUUAAAAUAGUGCAGUUUUUAUGCAUAUCGAGCUGUUAAAAUAGUGCAGAAUUGUGCUGUGUAUUGCUAUUAAAAUAGUGCAGUUUUUAUGCAUAUCGAGCUGUUAAAAUAGUGUAGAAUUGUGCAGUUUAUAAUGUAUGUACGUGGUCUAUUUGUAUGGAAGCUUGUAAUCAGCAUACCUUAGUAAACCUUGGGAUGAUUUAAGUGAUUUAUAAGGGUUGUACGUUUGUACGUGGGUACGUAAUCACGUGUGGAAGUUCAUGGCUAUGAAUACACGUGUGUUUGUGCCUGCGUCUCAAUUAGGAUUCAUUGCUUAUGAGCGAAUGGAACUUGGGUAUGUGUUCGUACAACUUAAAUAAGUGGAAGCGUUAAGUUACUAAACCGUUGUCUUGAGUAUGAAAUGUGAUUGCAGGUACUCUAUUAAUGUCUUUACCAAGGUUAAGGAAUUGAAGUGCACGAAUGUACAUGGAAAGCAUAUUCGUAAGGAUCAGUAUGGGAAGAAGGAACGCGGACGGGUUAUUGAUCAUGUGUGUUUAGUUUAGGAAUGAUGUCAUUAAAUCUAACCGAUGCACAUGUAUGUGGUGAAUGCAGGUUGCUUGGAUUUAGCAUCAUUAUGAAGGAUGGAAAGAUUGAAGAUCGAGUCAAGAGCAAAGGAUUGUACGGGAAGGAUCGGUCACAUAGUUUAACAAAUGUAGGUCCGAAGUAUUAAUAUAAUGGAACAUGGUAAAUCCUUUUUAAUGAGUGUAUGACAUUUGGUAUUCGAACUUUCCUGUAAGUACUAUGUCUAUUAAAGAACGAAAUUUUGGGUUCAUAUUUUCCGCUGUGUUGUAUUUUUAAGUUAUUGCAAGUUAGUCUUACAGGGAAUUGUUCAUAAUACGAACGGGUCAUGCCCGAUUUUUGUUAAAUUAUAGCAUGAUAAUAUUACGUUCGGAUUAGGAAUUUUGGUCGUUACAAGUUGGUAUCAGAGCCAUGGUUUGAGGGAAAUCAAGUAUGUGGAGGUAAAUACUUGAACUCAAACCAGAGUGCUCUUGUGACAAGGGACCCGUACAAUCCAAGACUCGAUCAAAAUUUAAAGGUAGAAGCUAAUGUAAGUGUGUAUUUAAGCAUGUAUAUUAAAAAAAAAACUAACACCAUGUUAUGUGAAGGGUAAGCAUAGUUGUUGGAGAGGAUGAUCCGCGAGUACAGUCUUGGACCGACACCAAGGCACGUAGUAAGAUAAAUUGAUUCCAGGUACGUAUAUUUAAUAUGUGUAAGUACAUGUAAUGGUAAAAUCUAGCAAGUGAAAGAAAAAUUUUAAGUAAAAUGUAAUAAUGGAAUGAUAAUGAAGUUUUGAAAAUGUUACACGUGCCGAAACCUAAUUCUUCGGACAUAAGGUGGCGAUUACACGAAGACACGAAACUAGUAUGCGGAUUGUGUACCUGGCCAGUACACAAGAAACAUAUGACGUUCGUGAGACCGUGAUAAUGGUUACAGGUAUGUCCGCUAGAACUAGGUAGUAGGUGGACGUGGGGGUGAAGAGGAAUGCAAGACUUUCAGAAAUGAAAGUAUGACUGAUAUGUUAGAAUCCGUGAGACGGAUUCGAAGCAUGAAUGAUGUGCUUGAAUCCGCGAGACGGAUUCGAAGCAUGAAAGGAAUGAAAGCAUGAAUGAUGUGCUUGAAUCCGCGAGACGGAUUCGAAGCAUGAAAGGAAUGAAAGCAUGAAUGAUGUGCUAGAAUCCGCGAGACGGAUUCAAAGCAUGAAAGGAAUGAAAGCAUGAAUGAUGUGUUAGAAUUCGCGAGACGGAUUCAAAGCAUGAAAGGAAUGAAAGCAUGAAUGAUGUGUUAGAAUUCGCGAGACGGAUUCGAAGCAUGAAAGGAAUGAAAGCAUGAAUGAUAUGUUAGAAUCCGCGAGAUGGAUUCAAAACAAAGAAAGAAUAAAAGUAGGAAUGAGAUGUUAUAAACCGCAAGACGGGUUCAAAACAUAAUGAAUGAUAAAAAAAAUGAAAAGAUUCGAAUGUGUAAGUAAUUACAGACUAAGCAAGUAAAUAUUAAAAAAAAAAAAAAGAAGAGGAUACUAUCUAAGUUAUGUCUUAAACUUAUAUAUAUACACAAAUAUGUUUGUAUGCAAGAAUGGUUAAAGGGACGGAUGAGUCAUGCGGGUCAAAUGGUAAUCGCCAUUUUAAUCGAUAUUUAAUGUUUUGGUUUGUUAAGUUUUAUACUUAUAGGUGAGCUUGAUGAAUGGGCACGCAAUGUCGCUAAUUGGAAAGAAAGGACCAUCGUAAGGAGUCAUGUCAAUAGAGGCACAAAUAUGGAAGCGCUACGGGUCGAAGGUAAACACGGAAGCUAUGUGUAAAUUCGGACGCACGAGGUAAGUAAACUCCCCGACUCCUUCCUUAGUAGUAAAAGAGGUUAUUUGUAUGAUAAAUGUUAGCAAUUAUGCAAGAUGCUUUAUUGACAUUUGUAACAAGUAAGGAGCACUAAGGAAGUGAUUUCUGAAUCACUUCCUACACCAUUUUAGGAAGGCUAUAUGCGAGUUACUUAAGUAUGGUAAUCUAAGUUUAUUUAGGAUUCGGUUAUUGGAGGUGAUGGUGUUCGCUAAGAAGACCGAACGGGUUAAAAUAAGAGUAUAUUAGUGUAGUUUUUAUGCAUUUUUGAGCGGCCAAAAUAGUGCAGAAUUUUCAUGUUAAUUGUUGUUAAGAUAUUGCAGUUUUUAUGCAUUUUUGAGCUGCCAAAAUAGUGCAGAAUUUUCAUGUUAAUUGUUGUUAAAAUAGUGCAGUUUUUAUGCAUUUUGAGCUGCCAAAAUAGUGCAGAAUUGUGCUGUAUAUUGUUGUUAAAAUAGUGCAGUUUUUAUGCGUUUUGAGCUGCCAAAAUAGUGCAGAAUUGUGCUGUAUAUUGUUGUUAAAAUAGUGCAGUUUUUAUGCGUUUUGAGCUGCCAAAAUAGUGCAGAAUUGUGCUGUUUAUUGUUGUUAAAAUAGUGCAGUUUUUAUGCGUUUUGAGCUGCCAAAAUAGUGCAGAAUUGUGCUGUUUAUUGUUGUUAAAAUAGUGCAGUUUUUAUGCGUUUUGAGCUGCCAAAAUAGUGCAGAAUUGUGCUAUUUAUUGUUGUUAAAAUAGUGCAGUUUUUAUGCAUUUUGAGCUGCCAAAAUAGUGCAGAAUUGUGCUGUUUAUUGUUGUUAAAAUAGUGCAGUUUUUAUGCAUUUUGAGAUGUCAAACUAGUGCAGAAUUGUGCUGUGUAUUGCUAUUAAAAUAGUGCAGUUUUUAUGCAUAUCGAGCUGUUAAAAUAGUGCAGAAUUGUGCUGUGUAUUGCUAUUAAAAUAGUGCAGUUUUUAUGCAUAUCGAGCUGUUAAAAUAGUGUAGAAUUGUGCAGUUUAUAAUGUAUGUACGUGGUCUAUUUGUAUGGAAGCUUGUAAUCAGCAUACCUUAGUAAACCUUGGGAUGAUUUAAGUGAUUUAUAAGGGUUGUACGUUUGUACGUGGGUACGUAAUCACGUGUGGAAGUUCAUGGCUAUGAAUACACGUGUGUUUGUGCCUGCGUCUCAAUUAGGAUUCAUUGCUUAUGAGCGAAUGGAACUUGGGUAUGUGUUCGUACAACUUAAAUAAGUGGAAGCGUUAAGUUACUAAACCGUUGUCUUGAGUAUGAAAUGUGAUUGCAGGUACUCUAUUAAUGUCUUUACCAAGGUUAAGGAAUUGAAGUGCACGAAUGUACAUGGAAAGCAUAUUCGUAAGGAUCAGUAUGGGAAGAAGGAACGCGGACGGGUUAUUGAUCAUGUGUGUUUAGUUUAGGAAUGAUGUCAUUAAAUCUAACCGAUGCACAUGUAUGUGGUGAAUGCAGGUUGCUUGGAUUUAGCAUCAUUAUGAAGGAUGGAAAGAUUGAAGAUCGAGUCAAGAGCAAAGGAUUGUACGGGAAGGAUCGGUCACAUAGUUUAACAAAUGUAGGUCCGAAGUAUUAAUAUAAUGGAACAUGGUAAAUCCUUUUUAAUGAGUGUAUGACAUUUGGUAUUCGAACUUUCCUGUAAGUACUAUGUCUAUUAAAGAACGAAAUUUUGGGUUCAUA